UACAGAGGUGGCAAGCGUUGUUCGGAAUUACUGGGCGUAAAGGGCGAGUAGGUGGCCAUCUAAGUCAGACGUGAAAUCCCCCGGCUUAACCUGGGAACUGCGUCUGAUACUGGACGGCUUGAGUAUGGGAGAGGAACGUAGAAUUCCAGGUGUAGCGGUGAAAUGCGUAGAUAUCUGGAGGAAUACCGGUGGCGAAGGCGGGUCUCUGGGCCGAUACUGACGCUGAGGUGCGAAAGCGUGGGGAGCAAACAGG
Molecule: ribosomal RNA, 253 nt
Filed under: uncultured bacterium
Lineage: Bacteria
Description: partial 16S ribosomal RNA
Rfam family: Bacterial small subunit ribosomal RNA
Source: RNAcentral